Molecule: long non-coding RNA, 1565 nt
Organism: Ictalurus punctatus (channel catfish)
Lineage: Eukaryota; Metazoa; Chordata; Actinopteri; Siluriformes; Ictaluridae
Source: Ensembl
GACUUAAGAUUAAAUGACAUGACUAGACCUAUCAUUAUCUGUUAUUAAAACAAGCUUGGUUAGGGUUCUUGGCAAAGUUCGGACUCAUUUUCAUUUUAAACCACCUGUAAUUACUACACCGGACAUUCUUUUAAAGUGUUAUGAUUGAUUUAAGCGUUCAGUGAUAUGUAAAUAUUUAAUCCAGACACAAUCCGAGCCUCUCUUCCAGCCAUAAAUAUUAAACAAAAUGACAGCAGAAGUUUUUCUUUAGGCGCAGUGAAUGAAGAACCCGUUCAGGGUGGAAUCGACUCUUGUUCGAAAGAGUCGAUUGGGGGCGGAAACUUCAUAACAGCGCCGAAAUACGCGACUCCAAGAAUACGCGCAACUAAAACCAACCCGAGCUGAACUCUCCGGCAGACCGAACAGAGCCCACAAACCCAAACCCAGGGAGAGUUUCCAUUACAAAAAGAAGAAAAAUGUAGUCUCCAUGCAUGGAUUGUAACUGUCCGAGUUGAGAGGACUUCAGCACGAAUCAUUCAGGCGUGUGAACAUGGACCAAAAAUGACAAAUGCAUCUUCUUGGCACUUCUGUUUUGGUGUUUCUCCUCCUACCUCUCGUCUUCUCCUGCAAAAGCACCAAGAGUAAAGAGGAGAUCUCUCAGGAUUAUGAGUAUAUCAUUCAGAAGCAGCUGGAGCACAUUAACUUGAGUAUUCAGAGACAGGUGGAGUCCUGCGGGGAACGAAAGCUCGUGCUGCAGAAUUUAUUCCCGAUCGAGCGCAUCAGCACCGUGUCCUGCACCCGUUUACCGAGGAACAUAAGUGGUCAGCUGCACACUGAAUUACGGAACCUCGUGAGGGACAUAACGGUAUCGCUGGGAUGUCCCUGUUCUGCAAACCAGACCGAGCAGGCAGAGAGGUGGCCGGACUCCCAGCCUUUACAGAAGAAGUUUUGCCGACUGAAACGUUUGCUCAUGACGAUACAGAAAGCGUACGAACAAUACAACUCGGCUUAGUAAGUGUGGGCCACCGUGAGCGCCGAUUGAAAGAUGUUCUAAAUCUGAAAUAAUAAUAAUAAAAACAAUAGUAAUAAUAAAUAAAAUAUCGAAGCAUGGCUUCCUUACAAAGCUUUGCAUGGCACCUUGUAUAUGAGAGGACAUACACUCAUAACGAAGUGGCGAGUGAAACACGCCCGCUGCUUGGAGAGCAAAAAUCAGCCGGAUGCAGGAUCCAUCAUGAAUCGUACAACCAGCAGACAUGUCUCACGGACCAGUCGCCGUGAAACAGGUCGACCCCCCCCCGAUGGUUCAACAGCAUUCUUUGACUUUAACCCAUGUUUCCACUGAAGCUCUGGAUAUCCACCUUGUUUUUCUAGCUAUGGAGAUCUACUCUCAGUUCCUAGAGCUUGUUUUGAACUGCGCCCAAAAAGGUGUGAAGGAAAAGGGUCAGAAGAUGAGUUAUGUCCUGAUGAUGUCAAAGUUGUCUGUGGCAAAGUGUAGAGAGAGGCAUAUGCAGAAGAGCGCGGACAGCACUUUCCUCAGAGCAAGUUAUGCUACAAAGAAAAUCUUAGGGGGGGGCAAUAAUGGAUAA